AGAAUCAACGCUGGCGGCGUGCCUAACACAUGCAAGUCGAACGAGAAAGUGGAGCAAUCCAUGAGUAAAGUGGCGACCGGGUGAGUAACACGUGACUAACCUACCUUCGAGUGGGGGAUAACCUCGGGAAAACCGAGGCUAAUACCGCAUAACAUCGCAAGAUCAAAGCAGCAAUGCGCUGGAAGAGGGGGUCGCGGCUGAUUAGCUAGUUGGCGGGUAAUGGCCCACAAGGCGAAGAUCGGUA
This 244-nucleotide ribosomal RNA is filed under the name uncultured bacterium. RNAcentral's name for it is "partial small subunit ribosomal RNA". It matches the Rfam family "Bacterial small subunit ribosomal RNA", at positions 26 to 285 of the family's 1533-position model. The record is from RNAcentral.